Molecule: long non-coding RNA, 1152 nt
Organism: Gossypium arboreum
Lineage: Eukaryota; Viridiplantae; Streptophyta; Magnoliopsida; Malvales; Malvaceae
Exons: 3
Source: RefSeq, a predicted model, not a curated record
CUUAACAACAUGUUUGGUUGGGGAGAGUAUGAAUGCAUUAUAGCUCAAUUCAGCGGGCUUAUCACCAAACUAUUGUUUGGUUGAUUGUAAUUGCCUAUUACGGCCCCUGUUGAAUACGGGCUUAAUUAGGGAAGAGAGAACAUAGCUAUUCCCUGCCCUUCCCACUGAAUGGGUGAUUUAGGGUGUGUGAAAUAAAAAAUUAGCCCCAAAUGUUUCAAUUUUACCCUCACCAUUCUGAAACCUUUCUCACUCAACUUGAUAGCCUCUCUCACUCAGCCUCUAUUACUUGCUUCGCCUCUGGCCACUAGCCCCAAACUCUUCUUGGGCAUGCCAUAAAGAAAGGCAAGAAGAGAGCUGCCUUUGUUUUUCUUCAUUCUGAAACCUUUGUUACUCAACCCGAUAGCCCUUCUCACCUAGCCUCUAUUGCUUGCUUCGCUUCCGACCACUAGCUCCAAACUCUUCUCGGGCAUGCCAUAGAGAAAGGCAAGGAGACAGUCGCCUCUAUUUGUCUCUCUCUAAAUAAAAAUUUUCAAAGGCUUCUCCUUUCUUUCUUUCUUUUUUUUUUAACAAACCCAAAAGUUUUAACCCUAUACAGCCUCCCUUGCUUUCUUCGCCUCUGGUCACUAGCACUUUUCCCUUAGUUCUUUGGCUUGCUUGCACCACUCACAGUUGAGCCUCUUGUAUUCACUGGAUCACUAACAUUUUGGAGCAAAAUGCGCGAAAAUCGGAGCGUCGGAGCAAGCUACAAGAGCUAUACGGGCAUGUGAUAGGCAGUGUAAAUUUCACGGAAUUACGCACCGAAUAGCGAAAAGUCAUAAUUUUUAAGUUUUUCUAGCAUUCUGAGACUUAUAUACGAAGAUAAUAAGAAUAUAGGAGGGAUCCAUCUUAGAAUACUCAAGAAAACAAUUCGAAGAAUACCAUUGAAGUCGAUUUUGAAGCAUAUUUCUGAUCCAUCAAAAUUGAAGAUUCCCAGUUGAUUUCUUAGGAAGUUAUCAUGAGUUUUCUUAUUUCUUGUGGUUAUAUUAUAUCUUGAACGUUUUUAUUUUCAAGCAUGAAUUAAUUUUUUAAAUAUCUAGGGGAAAUGAUCCUUAUUAUCGAUUUUGUCAUUUGAUUUUUAUUUUUACACAAAAAUACUUAGUUUCUUAUUUUGAA